CAAAAACCCCAAGACUGGUGCUCGAUUCUAUGUUCUUCGUCAUGCUACCACGUCUUCUGACUCUACCGAGACCUUCGCCAUCAACGUGACGACCAGCCUGGGAAGCUUUUACGUUCCGAGAAUUGCACCGUGCCCCAAGCUCGU
This 144-nucleotide transfer RNA is filed under the name Neurospora crassa. RNAcentral describes it as "tRNA predict as a tRNA- Phe : anticodon aaa". Lineage: Eukaryota; Fungi; Ascomycota; Sordariomycetes; Sordariales; Sordariaceae. The record is from RNAcentral.